GAGCAGGGGCGUCAAAGUAUAUAAAAAUGGCGUCAUUUGCAUUGAAGGUUGGCGAUAGCAUUAAGCGAUUCUCCGUGCCCAUCAAAUUUUAUUUUCGUUUUGAUCGUGGCCUCGAACAAGUCGCUACAUU
This 130-nucleotide small nucleolar RNA is filed under the name Theobroma cacao (cacao). The record is from RNAcentral. Lineage: Eukaryota; Viridiplantae; Streptophyta; Magnoliopsida; Malvales; Malvaceae.